Molecule: ribosomal RNA, 497 nt
Filed under: uncultured bacterium
Lineage: Bacteria
Description: partial 16S ribosomal RNA
Rfam family: Bacterial small subunit ribosomal RNA
Source: RNAcentral
GUUGAACGCUGGCGGCGGGCCUAACACAUGCCAGUCGAGCGAAAGCACGAGAAGCUUUCCUUUUUGAUGUUAGAGGCGGACGGGUGAGUAACACGUGGAUAACCUACCUAUAAGACUGGGAUAACUUCGUGAAAACGGAGCUAAUACCGGAUAAUAGUUUGAACCGCAUGGUUCAAAAGUGAAAGACGGUCUUGCUGUCACUUAUAGAUGGAGCCGCGCUGCAUUAGCUAGUUGGUAAGGUAACCGCUUACCAAGGCAACGAUGCCUAGCAGACCUGAGAGGGUGAUCGGCCACACUGGAACUGAGACACGGUCCAGACUCCUACGGGAGGCAGCAGUAGGGAAUAUUGCACAAUGGGCGAAAGCCUGACGGAGCAACGCCGCGUGUAUGAUGAAGGUCUUCGGGUCGUAAAGCACUGUUAUUGGGGAGGAAGAUAGGUGAGUGUAACUGUGCACAUCUUGACGGUACCUAAACAAAAAGCCACGGCUAACUACGUG